UACGUAGGGGGCUAGCGUUAUCCGGAUUUACUGGGCGUAAAGGGUGCGUAGGCGGUCUUUCAAGUCAGGAGUGAAAGGCUACGGCUCAACCGUAGUAAGCUCUUGAAACUGUAAGACUUGAGUGCAGGAGAGGAGAGUGGAAUUCCUAGUGUAGCGGUGAAAUGCAUAGAUAUCAGGAGGAACACCGGCGCGAAGGCGGCUUGCUGGACGGCAACUGACGUUGAGGCUCGAAAGCGUGGGGAGCAAACAGGAUUAGAUACCCCGGUAGUCCCU
Molecule: ribosomal RNA, 273 nt
Filed under: uncultured prokaryote
Description: partial 16S ribosomal RNA
Rfam family: Bacterial small subunit ribosomal RNA
Source: RNAcentral